RNAcentral lists this ribosomal RNA (556 nucleotides) under Microchloropsis gaditana. RNAcentral describes it as "SSU rRNA". It matches the Rfam family "Bacterial small subunit ribosomal RNA", at positions 201 to 756 of the family's 1533-position model. The record is from RNAcentral. Lineage: Eukaryota; Eustigmatophyceae; Eustigmatales; Monodopsidaceae.
GAGAAAGUAAGUCAUACUGAUUUAUCUCUGCCUGAAGAGAAGCUCGCGGCUGAUUAGCUAGUUGGUAGGGUAAAGGCCUACCAAGGCGACGAUCAGUAGCUGGUCUGAGAGGACGAUCAGCCACACUGGAACUGAGACACGGUCCAGACUCCUACGGGAGGCAGCAGUGAGGAAUUUUCUGCAAUGGGCGAAAGCCUGACAGAGCAAUACCGCGUGGGGGAUGAAGACUUACUGAGUUGUAAACCUCGGUACCCUAAGGAAGAAGAUAUGACGGUACUUAGGGUGGAAAGCAUCGGCUAACUCCGUGCCAGCAGCCGCGGUAAGACGGGGGAUGCAAGUGUUAUCCGGAUUUACUGGGCGUAAAGCGUCUGCAGGUGGUUUCUUAAGUCUACUGUUAAAUCUUGAGGCUCAACCUCAAAUCUGCAGUAGAAACUAGGAGACUUGAGUAUAGUAGGGGUAGAGGGAAUUUCCAGUGGAGCGGUGAAAUGCGUAGAUAUUGGAAAGAACACCGAUGGCGAAGGCACUCUACUGGGCUAUUACUGACACUCAGAGACGA